Non-coding RNA from Vigna umbellata (rice bean), 2879 nucleotides. The record is from RefSeq and is a predicted model, not a curated record. NCBI's taxonomy places the organism in Eukaryota, Viridiplantae, Streptophyta, Magnoliopsida, Fabales, Fabaceae.
ACACUCCCAUGCAGUAACAAUUUUUCACUCAAUUCCAAUUUAAAACCCAACCACAUCUCACACCACCCUCCAUUCCACUAAUGUAACCAUUUUAGUACUCUCAAACUCUUUCUUUCUCCAACAUACUCAACCACUCUCUUCUCAUUCUCACUCUCACUCAUUCUCUCUGCUCCAGCUAAAACCCCGAGACGACUUCAUUGCCACCAACCCUUUCUUUCACCUCACCGCUUGUUCGUCCCCAAGACGACUGGUCUUCUAUGGCCUCGGAUUGCUCGGCCAAUGACUAGUAGACCGUUUUGACUGUACGAUCGUUCACGUUCGAUGUUGGGAAGUAUUCUUCCGCGGUUCCCGACUGCUUACUGGCCGCCACCCUUUCAAAGAUGGUACCCCGUUCCAUUCUCCAAAUCGCACCACCACUGCCCCCCUCAGACUUUCCCAAGAACGAUUCUUGGCUUUCUCCUUCUAGGCUCUGAACUAGUAGCCAACACUCCCCUCCAUACUGAUGUCAGCUAGGCGCACUUUUUCCUCCUCUGCCACUCCUUGCAACUCAAAGAACUUCUCUGCCUUAGAGACCCACCCCAACGGAUCAAACCCUUCGAAAUUGGGUAGUUCUACCCUUUUUCCCCGGUUAGGUUGGACGUCUCUUCGGUCUUCAUCCAGUUCCUCCUCCGAGCAUUCCCUUCUCCUCUGAUUCUCGUUAACAGAAUGUUGAUCUUCAUCUACAGACCCUGGACUGCCUUCUAAUCCCUUUUCCUGGGUCCACACCCUUCCUCCAAGAACUCGCAAGAGUUCUCUAGUUUCCUGCCGCAUUUCUUGCAUAUUUUUUUUCCCAUUUUGCUAGCUCCCUUUUCUGUUCGCUGAUCCUCCUUUCCCAAGAAUUGUCUCUUCCUUCCAUCACGCUCCUUUCCCCAAGAAUCCGACACCCCUCUCCUAAUGGGAAUCCGGUAGUUUCUUGAUUACUUCUUGAUCCUUCACCCCCACUCCGAUCCGGCAGGUCGGACCACUUUGUUAGGGAUUCGGGAAGGAAUUCCUAACAAGCUCUCUCUCUAUCUCAAAUACAACAAUCAAGAACUUGUAAAGAAGGAAUAGUAUGAAUGGUAUUCACAACAAUGAAUCAAGAAUACACUGUAUCUUAGGAGCUUAACCUCCUCCACCUGGUGCUAAGACCGGUCAACACAUACAAACUACACAACUGGCUAACUGAAACAAUAAAGGGUCCUAAUAUAUAGGCCUUCUUCUGCCCCCUCACUUAACUGAUUAACAGUUAAUUGUUCUGUUUCCCUUUUCUCCUUUCCUAUACUCUCUAAGUCCUAACAGAAUCCUUAAUCCCAUGGGCUUUAAGAAUUGUCAUGAAAUCUUCACGAACCUGAUAAAGCCACCAAGAAGUGUUUGUAAAAGGUUAUUUGACCUAUGUCUAAACAGCUUUAUAGGUUUUAUGAGUGCGAGAUACAUAGCAAAGAGAUGGGUGAAUGGUGACUCAAUUGAUGCAACACAACUAAGUGUCAACUUUCUUCUACGGAGGAUGAGGUGAGAUGCGGCUCAUAGUACUGUCCAACAAGCCAAAGUUCAAUGUGAGAAGCCCAAGAGGUGUAGUUCUUUGAUCCAAUAACUGAGACAAGAGCGGGGCACUGAUGUGGCUGGUAAAAAUAGCAGCGUCAUACAUUGCAGUGCCAGAGGUACCAAAAACAAUACAAAAAAGUGGUGAAAAAUGAAAAGAGUUGUCCAGACACCAAACAAGAUCGAAUCCGGCUCAAGGAAGCUCUGUUGAUAGUGUCAAGAACAAAUGCCGGGAGCGCCACUAUGUGUGGCAGAUAUGGGCAGCACGUGGGAGAAGCAUGUAGAGAGAGAGGAGGUGCGUGCAACCUGCCAUAGCUAGGCCAUUCUUGAGGAGAUGGUGCCAAUAAUGGUCUUUGUAUCAUAAUAGUGGUGUUGGAAUAAUGUUUCAGGAAAAGUGAUGAGAAAAAAUUGAGUCUGAUGAAAAUUGGGUUCACCGGGAUAUUCCAAAAUUAGCCUCCUUUUAUAUAUAUCAUGUUGAAGCAGAGAGAAACAAGUAAACAUAGGAUGAAUUCCGCUCGCAGUGGAACUAUUAAAUUUAUAGGAGAGAAAGCAUAAUUACAAAAUAUUUAUUCCAGAAUAUCGAUUUACCCAGUUUUAGGUUAAUAACAUAAAUAUAGAAUUAAUUUAGUUAAUCCUAGUAUUCAACGUUACUAUAUUUCAAAGAUUCUUACAAAAAUAAUCUCAUUAUAUAUUGGGCAUCCUCCGAUGAACUGUUAUUUUCUGAGGAACUACUAUUUUCACUGUUUUGUUUUGUUUGAUACAUUUAACCGCUGAUUAUAUCCUCUUUUUCUCCAUCGCAGAAAGAUAAUGAAGAUGAAGAGCUUUGUAGCGUUUUUGUCCCUACGAACCAUCUGUAUAUUGGCGAUAUAUUUCUGGUUAACUCCAAAGAUAUUAUAAGACCAAAUCUUUCUAUUCGAGAAGGCAUAGAAAUCAUUGUUUCCGGGGGAAUGACUAUGCCGCAGUUGAUAACUCCGGUUGAAAGGGCUACUCGACCGAAUGAAAGAAUAUCUUUAAAUAGAAUUGGAUAAAGGAUUAAAUCCGUGGUUGGAACCAUGUGGGUGAUGGAAAUUAUCAGUCUGAACCUCCAUUUAUUUUAAUAUACGAAAUUUGUUGUUUAAUAUUUUGUUAACUAUUGUCUGUUCCAAGCUGCAAGAUAACUUGUAGAACUGUAGUUGUAAGCUUGUAAUCUCAUCCCUGUUUUUGCUCUACCAGUUACCCCCCAACUUCAGGCUGACACAUAUUAACUCCAAAGUAUUAAUAUAUGUUCGAAAGUCUGCGUGUUCUUAACAUUAGAUAGGAUCAGUGUCUAUGGAAAUUUUAUA